CAGAACGAACGCUGGCGGCGAUGGAUUAGGCAUGCAAGUCGAACGGUGCAGCAAUGCAUAGUGGCGCAAGGGUGAGGAACGCGUGAGUAACCUGCCCUCAAGUUGGGAACAGCUUCUGGAAACGGAAAUUAAUACCGAAUGUGACCAUAGGAAGGCAUCUUCUGUUGGUUAAAGGCCGCAAGGUCGCUUGAGGAGGGCUCGCGUCCCAUUAUGCUAGUUGGUGAGGUAAAGGCUCACCAAGGCGAAGAUGGGUAGCUGGUCUGAGAGGACGAUCAGCCACACUGGGACUGAGAACUGCCCAGACUCCUACGGGAGGCUGCAGUCGAGAAUUUUGGGCAAUGGACGAAAGUCUGACCCAGCCAAUGCCGCGUGCGGGAUGAAGGUCUUCGGAUUGUAAACCGCUGUCAAGUGGGACGAAACAAAUGACGGUACCGCUGAAGGAAGUCACGGCUAACUACGUGCCAGCAGCCGC
Molecule: ribosomal RNA, 472 nt
Filed under: uncultured bacterium
Lineage: Bacteria
Description: bacterial SSU rRNA
Rfam family: Bacterial small subunit ribosomal RNA
Source: RNAcentral